UCCCAGACUCCUACGGGAGGCAGCAGUGGGGAAUAUUGCACAAUGGGGGGAACUCUGAUGCAGCGACGCCGCGUGAGUGAAGAAGUAUCUCGGUACGUAAAGCUCUAUCAGCAGGGAAGAAACAGACGGUACCUGAGUAAGAAGCCCCGGCUAACUACGUGCCAGCAGCCGCGGUAAUACGUAGGGGGCAAGCGUUAUCCGGAUUUACUGGGUGUAAAGGGAGCGUAGACGGCAGUGCAAGUCUGAAGUGAAAGGCGGGGGCCCAACCCCCGGACUGCUUUGGAAACUGUGCUGCUGGAGUGCAGGAGAGGCAAGUGGAAUUCCUAGUGUAGCGGUGAAAUGCGUAGAUAUUAGGAGGAACACCAGUGGCGAAGGCGGCUUGCUGGUCUGUAACUGACGUUGAGGCUCGAAAGCGUGGGGAGCAAACAGGAUUAGAUACCCCGGUAUA
Molecule: ribosomal RNA, 448 nt
Filed under: uncultured bacterium
Lineage: Bacteria
Description: bacterial SSU rRNA
Rfam family: Bacterial small subunit ribosomal RNA
Source: RNAcentral